Molecule: ribosomal RNA, 253 nt
Filed under: uncultured bacterium
Lineage: Bacteria
Description: partial 16S ribosomal RNA
Rfam family: Bacterial small subunit ribosomal RNA
Source: RNAcentral
UACGGAGGGGGCAAGCGUUGUUCGGAAUUACUGGGCGUAAAGGGCGCGUAGGCGGCCUGCUAAGUCGAACGUGAAAUCCCUGGGCUCAACCCAGGAACUGCGUCCGAUACUGGUUGGCUUGAAUCCGGGAGAGGGACGUGGAAUUCCAGGUGUAGCGGUGAAAUGCGUAGAUAUCUGGAGGAACACCGGUGGCGAAGGCGACGUCCUGGACCGGCAUUGACGCUGAGGCGCGAAAGCCAGGGGAGCAAACGGG